CGGAUCGCAGGCUGCAACCCGCCUGCGUGAAGUUGGAAUUGCUAGUAAUCGCGGAUCAGCAUGCCGCGGUGAAUACGUUCCCGGGCCUUGUACACACCGCCCGUCACACCAUGGGAGCCGGUAAUACCCGAAGUUAGUAGCCUAACCGCAAGGGGGGCGCUGCCGAAGGUAGGAUUGGCGACUGGGGUGAAGUCGUAACAAGGUAAC
This 207-nucleotide ribosomal RNA is filed under the name uncultured bacterium. Its description in RNAcentral is "partial 16S ribosomal RNA". It matches the Rfam family "Bacterial small subunit ribosomal RNA", at positions 1294 to 1500 of the family's 1533-position model. The record is from RNAcentral.